This 472-nucleotide long non-coding RNA is filed under the name Homo sapiens (human). Its description in RNAcentral is "HSALNT0241322". The record is from RNAcentral. Lineage: Eukaryota; Metazoa; Chordata; Mammalia; Primates; Hominidae.
CCAAAGUCUUGGGAUUACAGGCAUGAGCCACCGCACCCGGCCCAGAAUUUCUGAUUUAAUUGUUCUGGGAUUUUUGAGGCUCCCUGGGGGAUGCUCAGGUACACCCAGGGCUGAGAACCAGAGUUCAGAGAGCUGCAGAGGUUUUCUCUGCCCGGCUUGCCCUGACCAGGAGUCCCAAGUGUGGAGUGCCUUGCACCUGCCCACAUCCCUAGGAGGAUUCCAAGAUGGCACGACCUCCAGGGUUUAGAUACCAGGCAGGGGAGCUUUAGAGGGCCGACCAGGAAAUGGGCAGAGCUCAAGUUAAAGGGAAGGAGGAAUUUCCACCACUCAGCUAGGGGUCAGGCUGUCCCCAGAGACUCCUGGCUCCCAUCAGUGGAUGUGCCAGGGUGCCUGUGAAAGGGCAGGAGGUCAGACCAGAAAACAUGCCAAGUGCUCCUCCAGCAAUCAGAUUCUGAAAUUCUGCCUAGCAAGG